AAGCCAAGGAAACAAACAUAGGUUAACCAGGUCAAUAAAGACUUAACAGAUGCAUUCACCACAACUUGCUGAUCUUGCUGAAUGUUAACCUUGGCUAGGGUUAAGGUUGUUUGGCUUUUUCUUUGUGGCUUAGCAUGUUAUGUAAACUUAUCCCAGUUGGUUCAUUCAGUACUGUGCAAACCUGAGAAAGAGGUCAAUUAGGUGACUAGGUUACAGUGUGUUGUCUGCGUGCAACCACUGGGUACUACAGACAUGCCUAAUAGAGUGGUUUGAUAGAAUUGCUUGGAAUUACUCAGGAAUGCAUGUCUUCUCUGCUGGACUGUGUUCAAAGAAAAAAAAUUGUGCUGCUCGUGGUUGGUGUGGCACAGUACAGAUUGGCCAGCAUUUAUAUCAUGAGGAAGGGACACCACGUUCUUUGGAUCUGUUGUUUUUGAAAUAUCAACCAGGAUUCCCCCCACCCCCCAAGAAAAUAGUCAACAAAUGUUUCUUCAGAUAAAUGAGAUGAACUCACAAAAUAAAGCAGAGAAUGAUCUAAAGAUUCCAGAUUCCACUUUUUCGGAAAGCGUUUAUGAAGGGUUGCGUAGAUAAGGUGCCCCUGGUUCGAUCAGUUACAGCCCGUGAUUCUCCAUGGGCUCCCCAUGGACCUUUUCAUCUCAACCACGCUUCUCUGGAGGACCUUGACAGGACCUUGCACUAAAACUCCCUGGGAGCUCCUGCAUUCUGCAGAUCUCCACAUAUCAGAGCCAAGAUUCUUUGGUAAAUGCUGCCUGCCUCUCUACUUAUCAGCUGGUGACCUUACAAAAAAGGAAGGAGAGAUAAGGAAGGGCCAGGAUUAGUAUGCACAGGAACACAGACACAUGUGCCAGCUUGUUUUUUGGACUGCAGCGCAACAUGUACAGUUUGAACUGUACCAGAGUCAUAUGCUGAAGGCCGGGAAGCUGCCUGUAACCUUGCAGAGAAGACCAUCUACUUGUAUUUUGCAAUCAUAGCAAUGACUCUGCUUUAAGCACAUCUGUGACAUUACAUGUGCAGGGAGAGACUUGGAUAAGAAACUCCACUUGGACUCCACUUCUUGUUUCUUUGGUGGGGAAGUUCUCAAGCCUAUCAAGCUGACAUCAAAUGGCUAACCUUAAAAUAUGUGUGACCUGAAGUCAUGGAACAGAAGAAACAUGCAGCUCAGGGAAGGCCGCUGUGCCAUGAGAUGCAGUUCUGAAAUGACUAGUGAACUCUAACAGGUUACAGAAAUGGGUAAACAAGUCAAAUAUGUAGGGAGGAAUUGAAAGGAGCACCAAAGCACAUGGUUUGUUGGAGCCAGGAGGAUCUGAUUUGUAUUUGGAUUAACCCUAACUGGUUUUAAACUAUGUUUCAGUCAAUUUACUAAUCCUUAAGCCAGCAAAAAAAGCAUACUGGAAUAAUAUUUCUUGCCCUAACUGCCGAGCCCUUUCUGAUUUAGAAUUGUGACUGGCAGGUGAUGCUGUCCUGAAGGUUUUAAUGCGGGACAUAUUAAGGAAAGUAAUUGGUAGAUUUCCCCUAGCUUUGUUUCCCCUCCUCCAAAAGUCACUUUUUUUUUUUUCCUGCUUUCAAGUCAAUUUUUGACUCCUGGCAACUGCCUGGAGAGGUCCCUGAGGUUUUCUUGGCAAGGUUUUUCAGAAGUGGUUUCCCAUCGCCUCCCUCCUAGGUCUGGAUUUAGAGCCAAGCACAUUGUUUAAAUGCAGCCCAGCCAUUCCACAAUGCCUGUUUCAUUCUCUAUUUAAUUCAUAAACAAGAUAAGACUGAACUCUUAUUGCAGGAAGGAAAUAUGAUACCAUAAAAUUAAAAACUGGUGGGAUGAUUCUCGUGAUGGAAAUGCAUGAGGGAAAAAAAAAAACAGUAUGUGCAAAAGGAACAGAAGCAAUAAAAAUGGAAGGAAUGGUGCCGGAUGUCAAAAUUGUCAACCUCUAUGCAAAGAUCCGGAAGAACAGCUCCAGCAGGAGAGGAUAUGAUAGUAUCAGAUAUUUACUCUCACAAAAGCUCAGUUGGGUUUCCCAGAACCUAUUCAAAAAUUGCCACUGAAGGGUAAUUUUUAGGGGGAAAGAAGGGGUAAAAAUAAAUACACCAGGAGAAAUCCCAUUCGCUGCAUUUCAUUUUUUGAACUGAGUUUGACUAACGUUUCUAUCGAUGUGCAGUAAAAUCAAUUUACAUUUUGGCCCUGGAUCCACCCUCCUCCCCUGCUUUUUGGGGCAGCGCUCCCUUCAAAAGAACUAGUGCAGCCUUUUGCCUAAAAAAUAGGUGUAUAUCUCUGGUUAGCACCCAGCCCAGAGAGAAUUGUGCUCUUUCUUCUGAAGCCCCAUCACCCCUGAUUUGUUUUCAGUUGCUUUCUGAGUUUUCCCUUAUUUGUGCAAAUACGGUAUUUACUCUAAAACAAGGUUCUCCAAAGUGGUCAAUAUUGAGGGCUAAUGGGAGUAACCAAGGAGUUGCUGCUGUUAUUAUUAUUACAAGGUAGUCCUCAGGUUGUGACAGCAAUUGGGGCGGGAAUUUAGGUCGCUAAGUGACAUGAUUGUAAGGCAUGAUGUCACGUGACCGCAUUGCUUAGCA
Python bivittatus (Burmese python) is the source of this 2574-nucleotide non-coding RNA. The record is from RefSeq and is a predicted model, not a curated record. Lineage: Eukaryota; Metazoa; Chordata; Lepidosauria; Squamata; Pythonidae.